Molecule: ribosomal RNA, 787 nt
Filed under: uncultured organism
Description: SSU rRNA
Rfam family: Eukaryotic small subunit ribosomal RNA
Source: RNAcentral
CGGAGAGGGAGCAUGAGAAACGGCUCCCUCAUCCAAGGAAGACAGCAGGCGCGCAAAUUACCCAAUCCCUUUACGGGGAGGUAGUGACAAUAUGUAACAAUAUACGGCCUUAUACGUCGUAUAAUUGGAAUGAGUACAAUUUAAAUCCCUUAACGAGGAACAAUUGGAGGGCAAGUCUGGUGCCAGCAGCCGCGGUAAUUCCAGCUCCAAUAGCGUAUAUUAAAGUUGUUGCAGUUAAAAAGCUCGUAGUUGGACCUUGGACCUGGACAGGCGGUCCGCCUCACGGCGAGUACUGUCUUGCUGGGUCUUUCCUCUUGGUGAUCUGUUGUUUCGGCAGCAGGGAACCAGGACUUUUACUUUGAAAAAAUUAGAGUGUUCAAAGCAGGCUCGACGCCGGAAUAUAUUAGCAUGGAAUAAUAAAAUAGGACGUGCGGUUCUAUUUUGUUGGUUUUUGGAAUCGCCGUAAUGAUUAAUAGGGACAGUCGGGGGCAUUAGUACUCACAUGCUAGAGGUGAAAUUCUUGGAUUUUGUGAAGACUAACUUCUGCGAAAGCAUUUGCCAAGGAUGUUUUCAUUAAUCAAGAACGAAGGUUAGGGUAUCGAAAACGAUUAGAUACCGUUGUAGUCUUAACAGUAAACUAUGCCGACUAGGGAUCGGUCGAUGUUAUCUUUUUGACUCGAUCGGCACCUUACGAGAAAUCAAAGUUUUUGGGUUCUGGGGGGAGUAUGGUCCGAAGGCUGAAACUUAAAGAAUUUGACGAAGGGCACCACCAGGAGUGGAGCCUGCG